This 439-nucleotide ribosomal RNA is filed under the name uncultured bacterium. Its description in RNAcentral is "partial 16S ribosomal RNA". It matches the Rfam family "Bacterial small subunit ribosomal RNA", at positions 339 to 795 of the family's 1533-position model. The record is from RNAcentral.
CUACGGGUGGCUGCAGGGAGGAAUAUUGCACAAUGGGGGGAACCCUGAUGCAGCAACGCCGCGUGGAGGAUGACGCAUUUCGGUGUGUAAACUCCUUUUAUAUGUCAAGAAAAUGACGGUAGCAUAUGAAUAAGCACCGGCUAACUCCGUGCCAGCAGCCGCGGUAAUACGGAGGGUGCAAGCGUUACUCGGAAUCACUGGGCGUAAAGGACGCGUAGGCGGGUUGGAAAGUCAGGUGUGAAGUCCUACAGCUUAACUGUAGAACUGCACUUGAAACUUCUAAUCUAGAGUAUGGGAGGGGGAGAUGGAAUUAGUGGUGUAGGGGUAAAAUCCGUAGAUAUCACUAGGAAUACCUAAAGCGAAGGCGAUCUCCUGGAACAUUACUGACGCUAAGGCGUGAAAGCGUGGGGAGCAAACAGGAUUAGAUACCCUCGUAGUC